This 230-nucleotide ribosomal RNA is filed under the name uncultured bacterium. RNAcentral describes it as "partial 16S ribosomal RNA". It matches the Rfam family "Bacterial small subunit ribosomal RNA", at positions 30 to 267 of the family's 1533-position model. The record is from RNAcentral.
UUGAACGCUGGCGGCAUGCCUUACACAUGCAAGUCGAACGGUAGAGGGGCAACCCUUGAGAGUGGCGAACGGGUGAGUAAUAUAUCGGAACGUGCCCAGUCGUGGGGGAUAACGCGGCGAAAGCUGCGCUAAUACCGCAUACGAUCUAUGGAUGAAAGCGGGGGAUCGCAAGACCUCGCGCGAUUGGAGCGGCCGAUAUCAGAUUAGGUAGUUGGUGGGGUAAAAGCCCC